GUGCUGGCUGCACACGGAGCAGCAAAAAUCAGUGCUUAUGUGACACAUGGGAUUUUUCCAAAUAGAUCGUGGCAACGCUUUGAACAUGAUAAUGGAGGGCAUCCUGAGAACGGGCUUACCUAUUUCUGGAUUACUGAUUCGUGCCCAUUGACUGUUAAAGAAGUAGCGAAUAAAGCUCCUUUUGAAGUUCUCAGCCUUGCCGGUUCUAUAGCUGCAGCGCUUCGAAUAUAGUAAAAGCAAAAAGAUUUGUUUGAAGCCUUUUUCGAUAGCUGAGAUCAACAUGUGAGCUCUGCUUCAGUCUUUCCUUUCCUUUCAAGUUUAUGUUUUUAUGUAUGACGUAUAUUAUGUUUGAUCACUAUUGUUUU
This 365-nucleotide unclassified non-coding RNA is filed under the name Hevea brasiliensis (rubber tree). The record is from RNAcentral. Lineage: Eukaryota; Viridiplantae; Streptophyta; Magnoliopsida; Malpighiales; Euphorbiaceae.